GAGUUUGAUCCUGGCUCAGGACGAACGCUGGCGGCGUGCCUAAUACAUGCAAGUCGAGCGGACAGACGGGAGCUUGCUCCCUGAAGUCAGCGGCGGGCGGGUGAGUAACACGUGGGCAACCUGCCUGUAAGACUGGGAUAACUCCGGGAAACCGGGGCUAAUACCGGAUAAUUCUUUCCCUCACAUGAGGGAAAGCUGAAAGAUGGUUUCGGCUAUCACUUACAGAUGGGCCCGCGGCGCAUUAGCUAGUUGGUGAGGUAACGGCUCACCAAGGCAACGAUGCGUAGCCGACCUGAGAGGGUGAUCGGCCACACUGGGACUGAGACACGGCCCAGACUCCUACGGGAGGCAGCAGUAGGGAAUCUUCCGCAAUGGACGAAAGUCUGACGGAGCAACGCCGCGUGAGUGAUGAAGGUUUCCGGAUCGUAAAACUCUGUUGUUAGGGAAGAACAAGUACCGGAGUAACUGCCGGUACCUUGACGGUACCUAACCAGAAAGCCACGGCUACUACGUGCCAGCAGCCGCGGUAAUACGUAGGUGGCAAGCGUUGUCCGGAAUUAUUGGGCGUAAAGCGCGCGCAGGCGGUUCCUUAAGUCUGAUGUGAAAGCCCCCGGCU
RNAcentral lists this ribosomal RNA (616 nucleotides) under Bacillus sp. GUFBSama06-7. RNAcentral describes it as "bacterial SSU rRNA". It matches the Rfam family "Bacterial small subunit ribosomal RNA", at positions 9 to 609 of the family's 1533-position model. Lineage: Bacteria; Bacillati; Bacillota; Bacilli; Caryophanales; Bacillaceae. The record is from RNAcentral.